GGGGAAUAUUGGACAAUGGGCGGAAGCCUGAUCCAGCCAUGCCGCGUGUGUGAAGAAGGCCUUUUGGUUGUAAAGCACUUUAAGCGAGGAGGAGGCUACUAGUACUAAUACUACUGGAUAGUGGACGUUACUCGCAGAAUAAGCACCGGCUAACUCUGUGCCAGCAGCCGCGGUAAUACAGAGGGUGCGAGCGUUAAUCGGAUUUACUGGGCGUAAAGGGUGCGUAGGUGGUUUCUUAAGUCAGGAGUGAAAGGCUACGGCUCAACCGUAGUAAGCUCUUGAAACUGGGAAACUUGAGUGCAGGAGAGGAAAGUGGAAUUCCUAGUGUAGCGGUGAAAUGCGUAGAUAUUAGGAGGAACACCGAUGGCGAAGGCAGCCAUCUGGCCUAAUACUGACGCUGAGGUACGAAAGCAUGGGGAGCAAACA
This 426-nucleotide ribosomal RNA is filed under the name uncultured Moraxellaceae bacterium. Its description in RNAcentral is "bacterial SSU rRNA". It matches the Rfam family "Bacterial small subunit ribosomal RNA", at positions 356 to 774 of the family's 1533-position model. Lineage: Bacteria; Pseudomonadati; Pseudomonadota; Gammaproteobacteria; Moraxellales; Moraxellaceae. The record is from RNAcentral.